Molecule: ribosomal RNA, 253 nt
Filed under: uncultured bacterium
Lineage: Bacteria
Description: partial 16S ribosomal RNA
Rfam family: Bacterial small subunit ribosomal RNA
Source: RNAcentral
UACAGAGGUCUCAAGCGUUGUUCGGAUUCAUUGGGCGUAAAGGGUGCGUAGGCGGUCUUGUAAGUCAGUGGUGAAAUCUCUCAGCUUAACUGAGAAACUGCCAUUGAUACUGCAGGUCUAGAGUAUAGAUGACGUUGGCGGAAUAUGACAUGUAGUGGUGAAAUACUUAGAUAUGUCAUAGAACACCGAUUGCGAAGGCAGCUAACGAAGCUAUAACUGACGCUGAGGCACGAAAGUGCGGGGAUCAAACAGG